AUUGAACGCUGGCGGCAGGCCUAACACAUGCAAGUCGAGCGGAUGAAGGGAGCUUGCUCCUGGAUUCAGCGGCGGACGGGUGAGUAAUGCCUAGGAAUCUGCCUGGUAGUGGGGGAUAACGUCCGGAAACGGGCGCUAAUACCGCAUACGUCCUGAGGGAGAAAGUGGGGGAUCUUCGGACCUCACGCUAUCAGAUGAGCCUAGGUCGGAUUAGCUAGUUGGUGGGGUAAAGGCCUACCAAGGCGACGACCGUAACUGGUCUGAGAGGAUGAUCAGUCACACUGGAACUGAGACACGGUCCAGACUCCUACGGGAGGCAGCAGUGGGGAAUAUUGGACAAUGGGCGAAAGCCUGAUCCAGCCAUGCCGCGUGUGUGAAGAAGGUCUUCGGAUUGUAAAGCACUUUAAGUUGGGAGGAAGGGCAGUAAGUUAAUACCUUGCUGUUUUGACGUUACCAACAGAAUAAGCACCGGCUAACUUCGUG
This 483-nucleotide ribosomal RNA is filed under the name uncultured bacterium. RNAcentral's name for it is "partial 16S ribosomal RNA". It matches the Rfam family "Bacterial small subunit ribosomal RNA", at positions 30 to 507 of the family's 1533-position model. The record is from RNAcentral.